RNAcentral lists this ribosomal RNA (253 nucleotides) under uncultured bacterium. Its description in RNAcentral is "partial 16S ribosomal RNA". It matches the Rfam family "Bacterial small subunit ribosomal RNA", at positions 524 to 776 of the family's 1533-position model. The record is from RNAcentral.
UACGUAGGGGGCAAGCGUUAUCCGGAUUUACUGGGUGUAAAGGGAGCGUAGACGGUUGUGCAAGUCAGAUGUGAAAGCCCAAGGCUCAACCUUGGGACUGCAUUUGAAACUGUGCAACUAGAGUGUCGGAGAGGUAAGUGGAAUUCCUAGUGUAGCGGUGAAAUGCGUAGAUAUUAGGAGGAACACCAGUGGCGAAGGCGACUUACUGGACGAUAACUGACGUUGAGGCUCGAAAGCGUGGGGAGCAAACAGG